GACGAACGCUGGCGGCGUGCUUAACACAUGCAAGUCGAACGGUGAAGCGCCUUCCUUUUUGGUGGGUGUGGAUGAGUGGCGAACGGGUGAGUAACACGUGAGUAACCUGCCCCCUUCUUCUGGAUAACCGCAUGAAAGUGUGGCUAAUACGGGAUAUUCUGGGUCUGUCGCAUGAUGGGUCUGGGAAAGAUAUUGUUUCGGUGGGGGAUGGGCUCGCGGCCUAUCAGCUUGUUGGUGGGGUGAUGGCCUACCAAGGCGGUGACGGGUAGCCGGCCUGAGAGGGUGGACGGUCACACUGGGACGGAGACACGGCCCAGACUCCUACGGGAGGCAGCAGGGGGGAAUAUUGCACAAUGGGCGCAAGCCUGAUGCAGCGACGCCGCGGGAGGGAUGGAGGCCUUCGGGUUGUGAACCUCUUUCGCCAGUGAAGCAGGCCUGCCUCGUUUGUGGGUGGGUUGACGGUAGCUGGAUAAGAAGCGCCGGCUAACUACGUG
RNAcentral lists this ribosomal RNA (494 nucleotides) under uncultured bacterium. RNAcentral describes it as "partial 16S ribosomal RNA". It matches the Rfam family "Bacterial small subunit ribosomal RNA", at positions 28 to 507 of the family's 1533-position model. The record is from RNAcentral.